GCGGAGCCAUGUUAUAGCAUGUGGGUCAGUUGACCCAUGUGAAUUUAUGAACAAAAUUUUUACAUAGUAAUUGCUUUAUAAAACUGGAAAACUAGCUAGUGUAAAUUUUAGGUAAUUGACCCCUAUGAUAUAUGUUAAUUAUGAAUUGACCCCCUUGACCAGUUUCUUAGCUCCGCCAAUGCAGCUAUGCGGCUUUGCAGGGCUUUAGGGCAUCUCCAUCUCUACUCCAUUUUUUCCUCUAAAAUAGAGUAAAAGUGAUUAUGGAGUAAAGAAUGCUCCAACCCAAC
Molecule: long non-coding RNA, 287 nt
Filed under: Brassica rapa (field mustard)
Lineage: Eukaryota; Viridiplantae; Streptophyta; Magnoliopsida; Brassicales; Brassicaceae
Description: long non-coding RNA (BRAP_LNC002644)
Source: RNAcentral